GACGAACGCUGGCGGCGUGCCUAAUGCAUGCAAGUCGAGCGGGCUACGAUCUUCGGAUUGUAGCUUAGCGGCGAACGGGUGAGUAACACGUAGGUAAUCUACCCUUCAGAGGAGGACAACCUCAGGAAACUGAGGCUAAACCUUCAUACGUUCACUGGUAGGGAUACUGGUGAAGAAAGAGUUACCUUAGUGGUAGCUGCUGAAGGAUGAGCCUGCGGCCCAUCAGGUAGUUGGUGAGGUAACGGCUCACCAAGCCGAAGACGGGUAACCGGUCUGAGAGGAUGUCCGGUCACACUGGGACUGAGACACGGCCCAGACUCCUACGGGAGGCAGCAGCAGGGAAUCUUGGGCAAUGGGCGAAAGCCUGACCCAGCGACGCCGCGUGGAGGAAGAAGUCCUUCGGGUCGGUAACGUACCUCGGACGUGGGGACGGAGGGAAGGGACGGGUACCCCGACGUACGAAAGGGAACGGGACGUAACUAACGUAGCCACGCGAGCCGCCGGUAACGAAGGUAAGUACGA
RNAcentral lists this ribosomal RNA (522 nucleotides) under uncultured bacterium. RNAcentral's name for it is "bacterial SSU rRNA". It matches the Rfam family "Bacterial small subunit ribosomal RNA", at positions 28 to 496 of the family's 1533-position model. The record is from RNAcentral.